This 401-nucleotide unclassified non-coding RNA is filed under the name soil metagenome. RNAcentral describes it as "partial contains 5.8S ribosomal RNA, internal transcribed spacer 2, and large subunit ribosomal RNA". The stretch from base 1 to 121 matches the Rfam family "5.8S ribosomal RNA", at positions 35 to 154 of the family's 154-position model. The record is from RNAcentral.
GAUGAAGAACGCAGCGAAAUGCGAUAAGUAAUGUGAAUUGCAGAAUUCAGUGAAUCAUCGAAUCUUUGAACGCACCUUGCGCCCUUUGGCCAUUCCGAAGGGCAUGCCUGUUUGAGUAUCAUGAACACCUCAACUCUCAUGGCUCGCCAUGAUGAGCUUGGACUUUGGGGUCUUGCUGGCCUGUGGUCGGCUCCUCUCAAAUGGAUCAGCUUGCCAGUGUUUGGUGGCAUCACAGGUGUGAUAACUAUCUGCGCUUGUGGUUUUCCAUCAGAUAACCUUCAGUGAUGGAGGUUCGCUGGAGCUCAUAAACGUCUCCCCUAAGCGGGGACAGCCCUUUGAAUGUUUGAUCUCAAAUCAGGUAGGACUACCCGCUGAACUUAAGCAUAUCAAUAAGCGGAGGA